Populus nigra (black poplar) is the source of this 3412-nucleotide long non-coding RNA. RefSeq lists it as uncharacterized. The record is from RefSeq and is a predicted model, not a curated record. Lineage: Eukaryota; Viridiplantae; Streptophyta; Magnoliopsida; Malpighiales; Salicaceae. The transcript is spliced from 2 exons.
UAAUGACAAACAAAUAUAGAAAAGUUUGAAAAGUUAUUUUAAAAAUAUUAUUUUUAUUAAACAAAUAAGGUUUUAAAGUUUGUUACUCGUUGUUUUGAAAAUAUAUUAAAAUAAUAUUUUUUUUAUUUUUUAAAAUUUAUUUUUAAUAUUAACAUGUAAAAAUAAAUAAGUUAUUAGUAAUGAUUGCAGGGCACGCGCCUGAACAUUUUCCAUUCUCCAGUCAAAACAACCAUAUGAAAUUCUGAUUAGCCAGAGACUAGAAUCUGUCCAUCGCUUGUCGUUUCAGGUACAUCUAGUUCAAGACAUCUUUAUCCCAAUACGCGAUAAAGUUAAAACAUCCCACGUCUGUGUUUAGGGGUCUGUCAUUAGCUAUGAAAAAUUUCGUAGUUUUAUUAAGACAUUAGAUCAUGGAUCCCCAGGUUUCCAAACAGGCAAAUCGGUUGAGGAUUUUUCUGUAAUUAGAUGCGGUACUGUCUGAUUGGACGUUUCACAAAGCAAAAGUACCAUCUCUGAUCGUUUUGUGGUGCUGUGUGACAACGUGACAGUGAGUGUUUUGUAAAAGUUUUUUUUUUUUGAAAUAUUUUAAAAUAAUAUUAAAAAAACAGAAGCAUUACCGAACAAGAAAUUUUUUUGUUUGUUUUUACGUUUAAAUAUAUCUUUUAAAAAAUUUAAAUUUUUGUUUAUUUUUUAUUUAAUUUUUUUUAGAUUAUUUUGAUAUGUUAAUAAUAGAAAUAUUUUUUUUAAUAAAAAAAUAUAUUAUUUUAAUAUAUUUCUGAAUAAAAAAUAUUUUAAAAACAAUCGCAAUUAUACCAUAACAACUUCCAAAUUUUUCUUACAAAUUAUCAUAUUUUGAGAAUAACACAAAUUAUUAAAUUUUAAAGUUAUAUUCUUAUGAGUAAAGGAAUCUUAAAAAAAAACUUAUUUUACAGCAACAGAAGUUAGGGUUUUUCUUUUCGAAAAUUAGCACAAUUUAAAUAAUAAAAAAGGGACAAAUUAGCAAAAUAAGCUUUUUUGAAAAAAGGCACGGUAGGAAAAACUACAGUUUCCAUGUACAAGUGAAAACUGCAAAAUCAUUGUUUUAUAAAUAGUAUAGCUAGUUUUUGUUUUAAAUACUAUAGUUUUUACAUGCGGUUUUUCUACUUUUUCCUCAUCUUUUUAACAAAUGCUAUUUCUUCAAAACUUUCCAACACUUGUGCCAAGUUUGAAAAACACUCAAGAAACCAUCUAGAACCUAGCUUAGUGGUAAGAAAUUAGGACUAAAGGAUUUGUUUUUCAUGUGAUCUUAGGUUCGAGCCUUGUGGUUGUUAAUAUGAUGGCUACUGGAGAUUGAUUGUUAAUUUCAGGGCCUGUGGGAUUAGUCGAGAUGCACGCAAGCUGACCCGAAUAUCCAUGUUAAUCUUAAAACAAAAAAACACUCAAGAAAGAAAGAAAUAAAAAACUUAUUUUGUAGUCGUUCCUGGUUCAGGACCAAGCAUUUUAUACAAAUUUCAAGCUCUGGUUAUGAACAGGAUAAGAAUCAAAAUUGGGCUCCUUUUCCUGCCUGCGUCUGAGUUGGAUCAGUACGAAGCAGAUAAGGCACAACUCCUGAGCCCAUAAUUUAAAGAUGACUUUGUUAUUUUAAAUUUUAAUAUGGUUGUGGUAAAAGUUAUUUUUUAAUGUAUUUUUUUAAAUGUAUUAAAAUAAUUAUUUUUAUUUUUUAAAAUUUAUUUUUAAUACUAGCAUACUAAAACAAUUCAAAAACAUUAAAAAAUUAAUUAAAAAUAAAAAAAUAAAAUUUAAUAAAAAACUGGUUCCACUGCAACUCCCAAAUGAGGUCUAGAAUGGCAAACCGGUCAUGUCUUCUUGUUGCACAGUGGGGGAAUAGAAGUACACAGAUAUCCUGCAUGUGAAAGGGCUUAAAGUGAGGGAUGAGAUCUCUUUCUGGUCACAUUUCUAGGCUGUGGUACGGGAGUUUGUCACUGUAUUUAAAAAAGUGUUUGAAAAAAUUUAAAUUUUUUAUUUUAAAUUAAUAUAUUUUUAAUGUUUUUAAAUUGUUUUGAUGUAUUGAUUUUAAAAAUAAUUUUUAAAAAAUAAAAAAAUAUUAUUGGUAUAUUUUUUAAGUAAAAAACAUUUUAAAAAGCAAUUACAACCACACUCUUAAAUAGACACUAAGCUUUAAAAAUAUCUCCAAAUGCGCAAGAGGCAAAAGAGAAGCCAAAACCAAAAGACUAUCCUUUUAGCUCUUUUUUUCCUUCUCAAUUACCAGAGUUAAAAGGAUAAAUAAAAUGUCUUUUCUUUUGCAAAAAUGUUGUUCCUAUAUAUCCCAAAAAAAAACCAAAAGUAAAGGUAAAAGUAAAGCAUUUCUUUCUCCUUUUUCAUUGGAGCAUAUAUAGUAAAAAAAACUAUAUUUCUACUAUUCGAGAUGCUAUAUUAACAUCAUGCUCUAAUACUAUAAAAAGAAAUAUCCUUCGUUGUAUUGUCCACUCAACGAUCAAAGAGGCAAAUAUAUGGAUAAAAAUGUUUUCAUUGACGUGUAGCCACAAGCAUUCGACGCUGACCUUUGUAUCAAGUUGUUGGCAAUAAGGGAAAAAUAAUGGUGCGAAAUUGGUGUUUCAAUGGGAACCCACGCACCUUCUUGAUUGAUUUCGUGCAUAGAACUCUUUGGCACUCUGAAGACAUUUAGGAUGGGUGGGAUGUCCUAAGACAGGGCUUCUUUUACUAAUUUGCUUAAAGACUUGAAUGCCAAGUCCUACGGUCCGGGUCUAUUUUUCACUGAAGAAGAAGCUAGUGGUUGCUCGGCUGAUCAAAACCUAGCUAGCUGUUCCUUGACUGUAAGAACAAGAAACCUUCCCCUGAGGAAACAGGAGAAGGGUAGUGUGGAAGAGAAUCUCAGGUGAUUGAGACUUGACAAAUGGGCUUGGAUCUUGACAUGUCAUCUCUAGCAGAGAGAGAGAGGUGAGAAUAGUGACAAACAGAAAAUGCAUGGUUGGAAGAGUUAAAUGCUCGAGGGUUGCAUGUAAAGGAGCCUUAAAUGAGAGUCAGUGUUAAGCUUGGCGCAGAGAGAUACAGCUAUUGUUAUUGUCCUUCCCAAGCUACCUAGCCUUUCCAGUGAUCUCAUAGCGCACUUUCUUUCUGCUGGCCACGCUUAUUGGCCAUUGGCCUCCUGUUGUGAUCUUUUAUAGGAUUUUGUUUUGGAUUUUGUGGUCUCACGUGAAUCUCAUUACUCAUGAAAUUAAAUUCUCUCCCUCAGAAAAAGGACUGGGCCUCGGGAUUAGAUUAAAGAGGUUGAAAAAUUAAACCCAACCAGUCACUUCACCUCCACAAGGUUUAUGCAUGUCUGCUGCAGCCGAGCAUUGUAUAAUAUUGAAAUAUUUAUUGUUUCUAUUUCCUUGCACGUCAGAUACCCAAUAUUCUAUUACCGAGAUUACUGGUA